CCCUUAGAUGUUCGGGGCCGCACGCGCGCUACACUGAAGGAAUCAGCACGUCUUUCUCCUUGUCCGAAAGGACUGGGUAACCCGCUGAACCUCCUUCGUGCUAGGGAUUGGGGCUUGUAAUUCUUCCCCAUGAACGAGGAAUUCCCAGUAAGCGCGAGUCAUAAGCUCGCGUUGAUUACGUCCCUGCCCUUUGUACACACCGCCCGUCGCUACUACCGACUGGAUGGUUUAGUGAGAUCCUCGGAUUGGUCCCGGCGCGGCCUCUGGUCGUGCCGGAGUGCCGAAAAGAAUGUCGAACUUGAUCAUCUAGAGGAAGUAAAAGUCGUAACA
RNAcentral lists this ribosomal RNA (330 nucleotides) under uncultured eukaryote. RNAcentral describes it as "partial 18S ribosomal RNA". It matches the Rfam family "Eukaryotic small subunit ribosomal RNA", at positions 1470 to 1796 of the family's 1831-position model. The record is from RNAcentral.